CAGACACGAUGAGCUCCUGCAGGCUCCUGAGCUCUCCGAGAACAUCCGGCACCUCGCCGGCAAGGCGGUUGUACGCCAGAUUGAGCAGAGUCAGGUUGGCGCACCGCGCGAACUGCGUGGGGAUCCCGCCGGACAGGUCGUUUGUGUUGGCCUCGAAGUACGUGAGGCCGGUGGCGUCCCCGAUCGACGCCGGGAUGGCGCCGGAGAGGAGGUUGUCGCCGAUGCGGACGUUGGAGAGGCCGCGGCACCGGCCGAUGGUGUCGGGGAUGGUGCCGUUGAGCCGGUUCAUGGUGAGGAUGAGAACUUGCAGGUUGCCGAGCUCGAAGAGGCUGCUGGGGAUGCUCCCCUCGAGGGCGUUGGAG
Molecule: unclassified non-coding RNA, 362 nt
Filed under: Zea mays
Lineage: Eukaryota; Viridiplantae; Streptophyta; Magnoliopsida; Poales; Poaceae
Description: misc RNA Zm00001eb095380
Source: RNAcentral